CCCUACGGGGCGCAGCAGUGGGGGAUAUUGCACAAUGGGGGAAACCCUGAUGCAGCGACGCCGCGUGAGUGAAGAAGUAUUUCGGUAUGUAAAGCUCUAUCAGCAGGGAAGAAAAUGACAGUACCUGACCAAGAAGCCCCGGCUAACUACGUGCCAGCAGCCGCGGUAAUACGUAGGGGGCAAGCGUUAUCCGGAUUUAUUGGGUUUAAAGGGUGCGUAGGCGGACUGUUAAGUCAGCGGUAAAAGCCCGGGGCUCAACCCCGGCGAGCCGUUGAAACUGGCUGUCUUGAGAUGUCGAGAGGUAU
This 305-nucleotide ribosomal RNA is filed under the name uncultured bacterium. Its description in RNAcentral is "bacterial SSU rRNA". It matches the Rfam family "Bacterial small subunit ribosomal RNA", at positions 337 to 660 of the family's 1533-position model. The record is from RNAcentral.